UACGUAGGGGGCAAGCGUUGUCCGGAAUUAUUGGGCGUAAAGCGCGCGCAGGCGGCUCUUUAAGUCUUGUGUUUAAUCCCGGGGCUCAACCUCGGUUCGCAUGGGAAACUGGAGAACUGGAGUGCAGGAGAGGAAAGUGGAAUUCCACGUGUAGCGGUGAAAUGCGUAGAGAUGUGGUGGAACACCAGUGGCGAAGGCGACUUUCUGGCCUGUAACUGACGCUGAGGCGCGAAAGCGUGGGGAGUGAACAGG
Molecule: unclassified non-coding RNA, 252 nt
Filed under: uncultured Paenibacillaceae bacterium
Lineage: Bacteria; Bacillati; Bacillota; Bacilli; Caryophanales; Paenibacillaceae
Description: contains 16S-23S intergenic spacer region
Rfam family: Bacterial small subunit ribosomal RNA
Source: RNAcentral